GAUGAACGCUGGCGGCGUGCCUAAUACAUGCAAGUCGAGCGAACAGACGAGGAGCUUGCUCCUCUGACGUUAGCGGCGGACGGGUGAGUAACACGUGGAUAACCUACCUAUAAGACUGGGAUAACUUCGGGAAACCGGAGCUAAUACCGGAUAAUAUAUUGAACCGCAUGGUUCAAUAGUGAAAGACGGUUUUGCUGUCACUUCUAGAUGGAUCCGCGCCGCAUUAGCUAGUUGGUAAGGUAACGGCUUACCAAGGCGACGAUGCGUAGCCGACCUGAGAGGGUGAUCGGCCACACUGGAACUGAGACACGGUCCAGACUCCUACGGGAGGCAGCAGUAGGGAAUCUUCCGCAAGGGGCGAAAGCAUGACGGAGCAAAGCCGCGUGAGUGAUGAAGGUCUUCGGAUCGUGAAACUCUGUUAUUAGGGAAGAACAAAUGUGUAAGUAACUAUGCACGUCUUGACGGUACCGAAUAAAAAAGCCACGGCUAACUACGUG
RNAcentral lists this ribosomal RNA (497 nucleotides) under uncultured bacterium. RNAcentral's name for it is "partial 16S ribosomal RNA". It matches the Rfam family "Bacterial small subunit ribosomal RNA", at positions 28 to 507 of the family's 1533-position model. The record is from RNAcentral.